This 1439-nucleotide ribosomal RNA is filed under the name uncultured organism. Its description in RNAcentral is "SSU rRNA". It matches the Rfam family "Bacterial small subunit ribosomal RNA". The record is from RNAcentral.
CGCUAGCUACAGGCUUAACACAUGCAAGUCGAGGGGCAUCAGGAAGAAAGCUUGCUUUCUUUGCUGGCGACCGGCGCACGGGUGAGUAACACGUAUCCAACCUGCCCUUUACUCGGGGAUAGCCUUUCGAAAGAAAGAUUAAUACCCGAUAGUAUAAUGAUUCCGCAUGGUUUCAUUAUUAAAGGAUUCCGGUAAAGGAUGGGGAUGCGUUCCAUUAGGUUGUUGGUGAGGUAACGGCCCACCAAGCCUUCGAUGGAUAGGGGUUCUGAGAGGAAGGUCCCCCACAUUGGAACUGAGACACGGUCCAAACUCCUACGGGAGGCAGCAGUGAGGAAUAUUGGUCAAUGGGCGCUAGCCUGAACCAGCCAAGUAGCGUGAAGGAUGAAGGCUCUAUGGGUCGUAAACUUCUUUUAUAUAAGAAUAAAGUGCAGUAUGUAUACUGUUUUGUAUGUAUUAUAUGAAUAAGGAUCGGCUAACUCCGUGCCAGCAGCCGCGGUAAUACGGAGGAUCCGAGCGUUAUCCGGAUUUAUUGGGUUUAAAGGGAGCGUAGGUGGACUGGUAAGUCAGUUGUGAAAGUUUGCGGCUCAACCGUAAAAUUGCAGUUGAUACUGUCAGUCUUGAGUACAGUAGAGGUGGGCGGAAUUCGUGGUGUAGCGGUGAAAUGCUUAGAUAUCACGAAGAACUCCGAUUGCGAAGGCAGCUCACUGGACUGCAACUGACACUGAUGCUCGAAAGUGUGGGUAUCAAACAGGAUUAGAUACCCUGGUAGUCCACACAGUAAACGAUGAAUACUCGCUGUUUGCGAUAUACAGUAAGCGGCCAAGCGAAAGCAUUAAGUAUUCCACCUGGGGAGUACGCCGGCAACGGUGAAACUCAAAGGAAUUGACGGGGGCCCGCACAAGCGGAGGAACAUGUGGUUUAAUUCGAUGAUACGCGAGGAACCUUACCCGGGCUUAAAUUGCAGUGGAAUGAUGUGGAAACAUGUCAGUGAGCAAUCACCGCUGUGAAGGUGCUGCAUGGUUGUCGUCAGCUCGUGCCGUGAGGUGUCGGCUUAAGUGCCAUAACGAGCGCAACCCUUAUCUUUAGUUACUAACAGGUCAUGCUGAGGACUCUGGAGAGACUGCCGUCGUAAGAUGUGAGGAAGGUGGGGAUGACGUCAAAUCAGCACGGCCCUUACGUCCGGGGCUACACACGUGUUACAAUGGGGGGUACAGAAGGCAGCUAGCGGGUGACCGUAUGCUAAUCCCAAAAUCCUCUCUCAGUUCGGAUCGAAGUCUGCAACCCGACUUCGUGAAGCUGGAUUCGCUAGUAAUCGCGCAUCAGCCACGGCGCGGUGAAUACGUUCCCGGGCCUUGUACACACCGCCCGUCAAGCCAUGGGAGCCGGGGGUACCUGAAGUACGUAACCGCAAGGAUCGUCCUAGGGUAAAACUGGUGAAA